RNAcentral lists this ribosomal RNA (433 nucleotides) under uncultured bacterium. RNAcentral describes it as "partial 16S ribosomal RNA". It matches the Rfam family "Bacterial small subunit ribosomal RNA", at positions 36 to 507 of the family's 1533-position model. The record is from RNAcentral.
CCCUCCCUCUGGCGGCAUGCCUAACACAUGCAAGUCGAACGAGACCUUCGGGUCUAGUGGCGCACGGGUGCGUAACGCGUGGGAACCUGCCCUUAGGUUUGGAAUAACUCCCCGAAUGGGGUGCUAAUACCGGAUAAUGUCUUCGGACCAAAGAUUUAUCGCCUUUGGUGGGGCCCGCGUUGGAUUAGCUAGUUGGUAGGGUAAAAGGCUACCACGGCGUCGAUCCAUAGCUGGUCUGUGAGGAUGGUCAGCCACACUGGGACUGAGAAGCGGCCGAGACUCCUACGGAAUGCAGGAAUGGGUAAUAGAGGACAGUGGGCGGAGGGAUGAAGCAGCUAGGCCGGUAGAGUUAUGAAAGUAGGAAGGUUGAAAAGCGCAAUUAACUGUGAUGGUAAUGACGGUACCUGGAGAGAAAGCUCCGGCUAACUCCGUG